UACCUCUGGAGAGUCUUUCAUCUGAAAGACACCGAAGGGGCAACCCGAUAAUACCGGGUGAUCUCUCAGGUAAAAGGACAGGGGGGCUAA
This 90-nucleotide non-coding RNA is filed under the name Dehalococcoidia bacterium. RNAcentral's name for it is "Glycine sequence". It matches the Rfam family "Glycine riboswitch aptamer". Rfam says of the family: This family represents the bacterial glycine riboswitch. Glycine riboswitches usually consist of two metabolite-binding aptamers domains with similar structures in tandem. The record is from RNAcentral. Lineage: Bacteria; Bacillati; Chloroflexota; Dehalococcoidia.